Molecule: small RNA, 29 nt
Filed under: Bombyx mori (domestic silkworm)
Lineage: Eukaryota; Metazoa; Arthropoda; Insecta; Lepidoptera; Bombycidae
Description: piRNA piR-bmo-2176139
Source: RNAcentral
UAGAAGCAUGCAUACUGUCCACGGGCAUA